AGAGUUUGAUCCUGGCUCAGAACGAACGCUGGCGGCGUGGAUUAGGCAUGCAAGUCGAACGAGGAUAUAUCCUUCGGGAUAUAAGCCGAGUGGCACAAGGGUGAGUAAUGCAUAGAUUACCUACCUUUAGGAUAAGAGCAACUUUGUGAAAACGGAGCUAAUACUUAAUAAUACAAAAGAAAAUAAUUUUCUUUUGUCAAAGGGAGGGUAGUAAUAUCUUUCGCCUAGAGAGGGGUUUAUGUCCUAUCAGCUUGUUGGUGGGGUAAUGGCCUACCAAGGCGAAGACGGGUAGCCGGUUUAAGAGGAUGGUCGGCCACACUGGGACUGAGACACUGCCCAGACUUCUACGGAAGGCUGCAGUCGAGAAUCUUUCGCAAUGCCCGAAAGGGUGACGAAGCGACGCCGCGUGGGUGAGGAAGGCCUUCGGGUUGUAAAACCCUGUCAGGAGUUAUGAAAUGUAAGUUCGUUAGUACCGUACUUAUUUGACAAAGGCUCCAAAGGAAGCCACGGCUAACUCUGUGCCAGCAGCCGCGGUAAUACAGAGGUGGCGAGCGUUGUUCGGAAUUAUUGGGCGUAAAGAGCACGUAGGUGGGUUUGCAAGUCAGAUGUGAAAGCCUUCUGUUCAACGGAAGAAUUGCAUCUGAAACUGCUAAUCUUGAGUAUAGGAGGGGAGAAUGGAACUUCUGGUGGAGCGGUGAAAUGCGUAGAUAUCAGAAGGAACGCCGGCGGCGAAAGCGAUUCUCUGGCCUAUUACUGACACUCAGUGUGCGAAAGCUAGGGGAGCAAACGGAAUUAGAUACCCCGGUAGUCCUAGCCGUAAACGAUGGGCACUAAGUAGAGGGAAUUACCGAUGUUCUCUCUGCCGUAGCUAACGCAUUAAGUGCCCCGCCUGGGGAGUACGGCCGCAAGGCUAAAACUCAAAAGAAUUGACGGGGGCUCGCACAAGCGGUGGAGCAUGUGGCUUAAUUCGAUGCAACGCGAAAAACCUUACCGGGGCUUGACAUGAUAGAAGUAGGAACCUGAAAGGGGGACGAACGGUAUCCAGUCCGUAGCUAUUACAGGUGUUGCAUGGCUGUCGUCAGCUCGUGUCGUGAGACGUUGGGUUAAGUCCCCUAACGAGCGAAACCCUUGUUUUUAGUUACCAGCGGGUUAUGCCGGGUACUCUAGAAAGACUGCCGUCGUCAAGACGGAGGAAGGUGGGGAUGACGUCAAGUCAUCAUGGCCCUUAUGCCCCGGGCUGCACACGUGCUACAAUGGUCGGUACAAACGGAAGCGAAGCCGAGAGGUGAAGCGAAUCCUAAAAAGCCGAUCUCAGUUCGGAUUGGAGGCUGAAAUUCGCCUCCAUGAAGUUGGAAUCGCUAGUAAUCGCGGAUCAGCAAUGUCGCGGUGAAUAUGUACCCGAGCCUUGUACACACCGCCCGUCAAGCCACCCAAGCAGGAUGCACCCGAAAACAUUAUAUCUAACCAGGGCAACUUGGAGGAAAAUGUUGAAGGAGUGUUUUGUGAGGAGGACUAAGUCGUAACAAGGUAACC
This 1533-nucleotide ribosomal RNA is filed under the name uncultured bacterium. RNAcentral describes it as "bacterial SSU rRNA". It matches the Rfam family "Bacterial small subunit ribosomal RNA". The record is from RNAcentral.